GAUAAACGCUAGCGGCAGGCCUAACACAUGCAAGUCGAACGGUAACAGGUAUAGCAAUAUAUGCUGACGAGUGGCGCACGGGUGAGUAACGCGUAUGUAACCUACCUAUAACUGAGGAAUAGCUCAGAGAAAUCUGAAUUAAUACCUCAUAACAUUAAUUUUUCGCAUGUUAAGUUAAUUAAAGUUCCGGCGGUUAUAGAUGGACAUGCGUGACAUUAGCUAGUUGGUAAGGUAACGGCUUACCAAGGCUACGAUGUCUAGGGGGUCUGAGAGGAUGAUCCCCCACACUGGUACUGAGACACGGACCAGACUCCUACGGGAGGCAGCAGUGAGGAAUAUUGGUCAAUGGACGAAAGUCUGAACCAGCCAUGCCGCGUGCAGGAUGACGGCCUAUGGGUUGUAAACUGCUUUUAUUUAGGAAGAAACCUUUGGACGUGUCCGAAAUUGACGGUACUAAAUGAAUAAGCAUCGGCUAACUCCGUGCCAGCAGCCGACGG
Molecule: ribosomal RNA, 497 nt
Filed under: uncultured bacterium
Lineage: Bacteria
Description: bacterial SSU rRNA
Rfam family: Bacterial small subunit ribosomal RNA
Source: RNAcentral